Molecule: long non-coding RNA, 811 nt
Organism: Trifolium pratense (red clover)
Lineage: Eukaryota; Viridiplantae; Streptophyta; Magnoliopsida; Fabales; Fabaceae
Exons: 2
Source: RefSeq, a predicted model, not a curated record
AUACAACAGUACCGUCACACUUAUACUUUGUUUUCUGUCAUAAUAUUAGUUGACUGUGGCAGCCGGGAAGGUUGUGUCCAGUAUACCAUUCACACAUUAGGUCUCUAGACUCUAAUCGAAUAAAAAGAUUCGGGGAAAAACUACGGUUUAUCAAUGGUCAAGCACAAAUAACAUCUGAUUAAUCCAUUAUGCAUGCUACUUUACCAAAUUUGCACAAAUAACAUCUACUUAAUCCAUUAUAUGACUUUACUAUCUUUUAUGUCCAUAAUGCAGCCCCUCACACUUUAAAGGGUCAAAAAUAGGAGAGAAUAAAACUUUUCUUUAGACAAGAACAGAAUGAAAACUUUAAACCAAGUGCAGAAAUAUAGCACAGAAUUGAAAUUUGUAUAGAUCCAUUGAAUAACAAUAUUAGAAGUUCAACAAAAGAAAUCAAAAUAGAAUAAGCUUGCUUAGGAGGAAGAUCCAACGGGAAUUUUAGAUUGUAGGAUAUGAUAGAAGAUUAUCAAUUUGGUUUGGGGCCUUAGAUCUAUAUGCGACAUGAUUGCCUAAAGAGGGACUUGGAGCUUGAAGUUAUCAACCAAAUUAAUGGAAAAAAGGAGUUGUGAUUAUUUUUGAAUUAUUGUUUAGAGGAAGAGAGAAAUAAUGUACUCUUGCAUCUUUAUUGUGCAUUGAAACUUUUUUUUUCCCUUCAUGUUGUAAUGAUAAUGAUAAUUUAUGUGGUUGUUUUUGUAAAUUGAAUUUGGAUAUAAUGAGAUUGACCUAGAAAAGUCUCCUAUAUUGAAGAAUACAGGAAGGAUGAAUUCUAUUUUGG